Molecule: transfer RNA, 75 nt
Filed under: Gastroptychus investigatoris
Lineage: Eukaryota; Metazoa; Arthropoda; Malacostraca; Decapoda; Chirostylidae
Description: tRNA-Trp
Source: RNAcentral
AAGAUUUUAUGUUAAUACGAACCCAAACAAAAGGCCUUCAAAGCUUAAAAUAAAAGUGCAUCCUUUUAAAUCUUA